CAAGGCGAUGAUGGGUAGGGGUCCUGAGAGGGAGAUCCCCCACACUGGUACUGAGACACGGACCAGACUCCUACGGGAGGCAGCAGUGAGGAAUAUUGGUCAAUGGGCGCAAGCCUGAACCAGCCAUGCCGCGUGCAGGAUGAAGCAUCUAUGGUGUGUAAACUGCUUUUAUACAGGAAGAAACACUCCCUCGUGAGGGGGCCUGACGGUACUGUAGGAAUAAGGAUCGGCUAACUCCGUGCCAGCAGCCGCGGUAAUACGGAGGAUCCAAGCGUUAUUCCGGAAUCAUUGGGUUUAAAGGGUCCGUAGGCGGCCCUGUAAGUCAGUGGUGAAAUCUCCCCGCUCAACGGGGAAANGGCCAUUGAUACUGCAGGGCUUGAAUUAUUGGGAAGUAACUAGAAUAUGUAGUGUAGCGGUGAAAUGCUUAGAUAUUACAUGGAAUACCAAUUGCGAAGGCAGGUUACUAUCAAUACAUUGACGCNGAUGGACGAAAGCGUGGGUAGCGAACAGGAUUAGAUACCCUGGUAGUCCACGCCGUAACGAUGGAUACUAGCUGUUCGGGGCAACCUGAGUGGCUAGGCGAAAGUGAUAAGUAUCCCACCUGGGGAGUACGUUCGCAAGAAUGAAACUCAAAGGAAUU
This 640-nucleotide ribosomal RNA is filed under the name uncultured bacterium. Its description in RNAcentral is "bacterial SSU rRNA". It matches the Rfam family "Bacterial small subunit ribosomal RNA", at positions 269 to 911 of the family's 1533-position model. The record is from RNAcentral.